Molecule: long non-coding RNA, 275 nt
Organism: Myiozetetes cayanensis
Lineage: Eukaryota; Metazoa; Chordata; Aves; Passeriformes; Tyrannidae
Exons: 3
Source: RefSeq, a predicted model, not a curated record
GGGGUCUCGAUGUUCCACCCCGGCCAGAGCCUGGGCUCCCUGGGGGCUCACGGGGGGGCCGCCCUGGGCCUGGCCCUGGGUUGGCUCGAGGGCUGUGACGGAGCCGCCCUUUGGGCCACCCUCGCCCUCAGUGUCCCCACGGCCGUGACGGAGCUGCUGCUGCUGGGCCGGGUCCUGCUGGGACAGAGGGGGCGGUGACCCCCCCACCCCACCAGAGACCCCUCCCCACCCCCAAAACAUCCUCAGGGGUCCCCAAACCUCCCUCACUCCCCCUU